RNAcentral lists this small nuclear RNA (194 nucleotides) under Melitaea cinxia (Glanville fritillary). RNAcentral describes it as "misc RNA ENSMCXG00005022967.1". It matches the Rfam family "U1 spliceosomal RNA". From Rfam's summary of the family: U1 is a small nuclear RNA (snRNA) component of the spliceosome (involved in pre-mRNA splicing). Its 5' end forms complementary base pairs with the 5' splice junction, thus defining the 5' donor site of an intron. The record is from RNAcentral. Lineage: Eukaryota; Metazoa; Arthropoda; Insecta; Lepidoptera; Nymphalidae.
GCAUUUACCUGGCGUAGGGGACACCGUGGUCAUGAAGGCGGUUUCCCUCAGAGCGAGGCUCCUCCAUUGGGCUGGGCGGGGUUGACCUCUGUGAUUAUCCCUAAUAAUAAAUGAAAUGAAAAUCCCUAAUAAUAAAUGCGGAUAACUCGGACGCGUAAUUUUUGGUAGUGGGGACUGCGUACGCGCUGUCCCCC